Molecule: ribosomal RNA, 836 nt
Filed under: uncultured archaeon
Lineage: Archaea
Description: bacterial SSU rRNA
Rfam family: Archaeal small subunit ribosomal RNA
Source: RNAcentral
CUGAGUGUUAUGGGAUGGGUCAUAAGCUAUAUGAGUCAUUGUAGCAAUACAAGGCAUAGGGAUCAGUAACAAGUAGUCAAUAUACCCCAUGGACGUGGAUAACAUCGGGAAAAUAAGAAUAAUCGGGGAUAGAUCAUGAUGCCCGGAACGGUUUAUGGUCCAAAUGAUUCGUCGCCAUAGGAUGGGAAUGCGGCCUAUCAGCUUGUUGGUGAGGGAAUGUCCCCACCAAGGCUAUUACAGGUACGGGCUCUGACAAGAGAAGCCCGGAGAUGGGUAGCGAGACACGGACCCAGGCCCUAUGGGGCGCAGCAGGCGAGAAACCUUUGCAAUGUGCGCAAGCACGACAAGGUUAAUCCGAGUGUUUCUUGCUAAAGGAAUAUUUUGUUAGUUCUAAAACCAUUGAUGAAUAAGGGGUGGGCAAGUUCUGGUGUCAGCCGCCGCGGUAAAACCAGCACCUCAAGUGGUCAGGAGGAUUAUUGGGCCUAAAGCAUCCGUAGCCGUUUCUGUAAGUUUCCGGUUAAAUCCACUAGGUCAAGUAAUGGGCUGCGGGAAAUGGUGCUGAACUAGGAAGUGUAAAAUGUAGACGUUACUGGAAAGGCAGGAGUACAAUCCUUUGAUCUCUUGAUGACCACCUGUGGCGAAGGCGGUCUACCAGAACACGUUCGACGGUGAGGGAUGAAGGGUGGGGGCACCGACCGGAUUAGAUACCCGGGUAAUCCCAGCGCUAUACGAUACAGAAGCGGUGAUGCGCUGGCGUUUAGCCAGUGCCGUGCCGCGGGCGAGCCCUUAAGUUUGCCGCCUGGGAAGUUCGUACGCAAGUAGAAACUUAAAGGAAU